RNAcentral lists this ribosomal RNA (467 nucleotides) under uncultured bacterium. RNAcentral's name for it is "partial 16S ribosomal RNA". It matches the Rfam family "Bacterial small subunit ribosomal RNA", at positions 28 to 507 of the family's 1533-position model. The record is from RNAcentral.
GACGAACGCUGGCGGCGUGCUUAACACAUGCAAGUCGAACGGAAAGGCCCUGCUUUUGUGGGGUGCUCGAGUGGCGAACGGGUGAGUAACACGUGAGUAACCUGCCCUUGACUUUGGGAUAACUUCAAGAAACUGGGGCUAAUACCGGAUAGGAGCUCCUGCUGCAUGGUGGGGGUUGGAAGUUUCGGCGGUUGGGGAUGGACUCGCGGCUUAUCAGCUUGUUGGUGGGGUAGUGGCUCACCAAGGCUUUGACGGGUAGCCGGCCUGAGAGGGUGACCGGCCACAUUGGGACUGAGAUACGGCCCAGACUCCUACGGGAGGCAGCAGUGGGGAAUAUUGCACAAUGGGCGGAAGCCUGAUGCAGCAACGCCGCGUGCGGGAUGACGGCCUUCGGGUUGUAAACCGCUUUCGCCUGUGACGAAGCGUGAGUGACGGUAAUGGGUAAAGAAGCACCGGCUAACUACGUG